Molecule: ribosomal RNA, 556 nt
Filed under: bacterium 75-L049393-122-001-C10
Lineage: Bacteria
Description: bacterial SSU rRNA
Rfam family: Bacterial small subunit ribosomal RNA
Source: RNAcentral
AGCGGCGGACGGGUGAGUAAUGCCUAGGAAUCUGCCUGGUAGUGGGGGACAACGUCUCGAAAGGGACGCUAAUACCGCAUACGUCCUACGGGAGAAAGCAGGGGACCUUCGGGCCUUGCGCUAUCAGAUGAGCCUAGGUCGGAUUAGCUAGUUGGUGAGGUAAUGGCUCACCAAGGCGACGAUCCGUAACUGGUCUGAGAGGAUGAUCAGUCACACUGGAACUGAGACACGGUCCAGACUCCUACGGGAGGCAGCAGUGGGGAAUAUUGGACAAUGGGCGAAAGCCUGAUCCAGCCAUGCCGCGUGUGUGAAGAAGGUCUUCGGAUUGUAAAGCACUUUAAGUUGGGAGGAAGGGCAUUAACCUAAUACGUUGAUGUUUUGACGUUACCGACAGAAUAAGCACCGGCUAACUCUGUGCCAGCAGCCGCGGUAAUACAGAGGGUGCAAGCGUUAAUCGGAAUUACUGGGCGUAAAGCGCGCGUAGGUGGUUUUGUAAGUUGAAUGUGAAAUCCCCGGGCUCAACCUGGGAACUGCAUCCAAAACUGGGCAGCUAGAG